Molecule: unclassified non-coding RNA, 243 nt
Filed under: Cleistothelebolus sp.
Lineage: Eukaryota; Fungi; Ascomycota; Leotiomycetes
Description: partial contains 5.8S ribosomal RNA, internal transcribed spacer 2, and large subunit ribosomal RNA
Rfam family: 5.8S ribosomal RNA (bases 1-52)
Source: RNAcentral
AACGCACAUUGCGCCCCUCGGUAUUCCGGGGGGCAUGCCUGUUCGAGCGUCAUUACACCCCUCAAGCGCAGCUUGGUAUUGGGCCCUCGUCCCCUGGGCGUACCCGAAAAGCAGUGGCGGUCCGGUGUGGAUUCAAGCGCAGUAAAUAUUCAUCCGCUCUGGAGAAGCAUCGUGGCCGGCCAUUAACCGCCCAACUUUCAAGAAAUAGACCUCGGAUCAGGUAGGGAUACCCGCUGAACUUAA